AGCUGCGCAGGCGCACAGCGAUGCACUGUCCGCAGACCAGUAGUUCUCUUUCACCAACCUGUGCCUCAUUUCCAGGACUUCCAACCUACUCUGCCACCUCCAACUGUGCCAGCCUUGGAGGACCCCAGCCUCUGGGAAUGCCGUGUCUCUCCUACGUGGCCUUCUGUCCAAGCUGCCGGUCACACUAUGCAUCAGCCACUAUAAACAAGCCACUGCCACAGCACAGCCUUCAUCCUCUCUCUGAGGAUUCUGACCCUUGAGCUCCUGCUUGUCUUUCCAUACCCCAAGCCCCACUAGAAGGAGAGUGUUCCUUCUGCUUCAUAUGACAUGUUUGUGUCUCUCUGGCAGGACUUCUCUGUCCUGUGUCUGUCUUGGGAUGCCUAAGUAGAAUCCAGACUCCGCCCACACUGAACUAUUGUUCUGUGCCUCAUCUUUCAUUCUUAGGAUUGGGCUGAUAUCAUUCCCUUCAAAACCGGGUUGUUCUGAGGAUGGUGUCCAGUGGCUUGCUAUACAUGUCAAGCAUUGACAGUGGAGCCAGCGCAGUUCCAGGAUAUUCGGGGAUACCAAGAAGACCCUGUGUCAAAACAAAGCAAACGGAAAGCAGAACCUCUCUGCAUCCUCCCUCCUGGCCUGGAGUCCUUCUCUUCUCCCUCACAGCACCCUGGAAUCCCCACUAUCUGCCCCUCCAGCUCGCCUGCCUCCUGCUGAGACACCUCACAUCAGGCGGUGUGUGUGCAUCCGUGGGACCCAACACGGAAUUCGGAAUCUCGAAAGACCUUCAAUGAGUAUCUGUGUGGUGCACGAACAAACAAAUAAGCCAAUAAAAAUUGCAAGAGUGCAACAUGAACCCACUACACUGAAGGCAGGCAGGAGAGUACAAUUCUUCAUUUGUUUGGGCCCACACACCGGGUGCUGGGAACCAGAUUCCCAAACAUGCUGCUGGCUCCUCUAAGUACAUUUACUGGGCUGUAACUCCCAUUCCGCAGAUUUCAUGCGAAGAGCUCGAGUCCGUAGGUUGUUGUUGCCGGUGUCUAAGAUUGUGCGGUCCUUCCCCAACCCCACAAGAAACCCCAUGUUCAUCAGCUGUCUCUCCCCA
This 1096-nucleotide small RNA is filed under the name Rattus norvegicus (Norway rat). RNAcentral's name for it is "uncharacterized LOC102553569". Lineage: Eukaryota; Metazoa; Chordata; Mammalia; Rodentia; Muridae. The record is from RNAcentral.